UCUCCCAGCGGGCCUCCCCCCGGGACUGUGCACCGCCGUGGCCAGCAAGGGCCCUCAGCUUCUCUAAAUAGGGAUCCUCCUGCAGCCCUGUCUGGAAUUCAGCUGCUGGGUUUGAAGGUACAGCACUGGUUGGCGGUGCCUCAGUUUCCCCACCUUCGGACAGAGGCUCUGGCCCAGCCCUGUUGAUCCCUACCCUUGGUGCUUCGGUCCUCCAUUUCGGGAGGUCCCGCAUCCCUCGCUGACUCUGGCUCCGGGUAAGGACCAGGGCACUCUGAGUGCCAUCUGGCCAGUUCUCCAAGUCAUUACCCAUUAGGACCUCGGUAGGCAGGUGAUCAUGCACCCCAAACUCUUUGGGUCCCUUCUUAGCCCCCCAUUUCAGGUGUAUCUUUGCUACAGGCACCUUGGCGGGGGGGCCCAAACAGGGUCAUGUAGGCAUCGGGCACUAGCUGGUCUGGGUCCAUCACCUUGGACUGCACCAGCGUCACUUCUGCACUCGUGUCCCAGAACCCCUGGACAUGUCUUCCCCCCACCUCAAUGGGGAUGAUGGGGUGAUUGUCCCCCCAGGGCCUGUCCCCCGCUCACCCAGUGGAUUGAGUAUGGGUGUUCUGGAGCUGACCUGGCCUGAUGGUCCCCUCCCCCUGGCACAGCCCUAGCAACUGCGGCCCACUGGACCGGCAGUGCCCCCUCUCGGUGGGCUUCCACCCAGUUGACACCCCACGGGUUCUGCUUGGCCGCCAUUUCCUUCAUCUUCAGGCAUUGCGCCACCUUGUGUCCCUUUUGGCCACAGUAAUUACAUUUCAAGUCCCAUGAGGGGGGUCAGCGUGCCCCGACGUUCACGGGCACCCCUGGGUUGGGCUUCCCGGAGUUCCACCUUUGAGAGGUCUCUGGGUGACUCCCCUUCUGAGUCUCCGAUGUGGGUCUCCCUCCUGCCCCCGAUCUGCUGUCCACAACCUCAUCUGCCGGUGCACCUGCACUGCGCAGAUCUUUGGGCUUCAGUCUCAAGAGGUCGGGUGUGCAUUGCUCCCUUUGGCUGUUCAAGUCCCCAGGUGUCCAGUUUGAGAGAACUCACUGAGGGGAGCUCAUGGAAUGAGGCAGGGGUGCUGAAGACUCAGAGGUGAGGCCCCAGGAGGCGGUGAAGCCAAGGGGUUUACCCCAGUGAAACAGUGGAACCCUAAGGGGGUAACACUCAAAGGGGGUCUCCCAGGGACAGUUACAGAGCUGUGAGAGAGCACUGGACCUGUGAAUCCAUCACACCUUUGUCUACUAGACUGAACAGCCCAUUAUUAAAUAUUUAUUCUCCGUGUAAACAGAUUGAGCUCCAUGAUUCUAUCAAUAUGGCAUGUUCUCCAAUCCUUUCAUCACUCUUGUGGCUCUUCUCUGAUCCCUCUCCAAUUGUGGGCACCGGACCUGGACACAGGAUUCCAGCAGCGGUCGCACCAGUGCCAAAUACAGAGGGAAAAUAACCUCUCUAACAACUGGAGAUUGCCCGGUUUGUACAUCCCAGGAUGGCAUUAGUCCUUUUGGCCCCAGCAUUUCACUUCGAGUCUCAUUCAGCUGAUUAUCCACCAUGACCUCCAAGCCCUUUUCAGAGUCUCUGCUUCCCAGGAUGGAGUCCACCACCGUGGCACUGUGCGGCAUACGUUGCAGGCCACCUGGGUGCAGGAGAUCGAGUAGGGUGAAGGGAGGAGCAACCCUGAGCAUCUGCCAUCCAGCUCCAUCCGAUCUAGAGCAAUUCCAGGAUGGAGCGAAUAAGGCGGAUGCUCAGGAGGAAGGCCGGGCAGGUGGCUCCAGAGCCAGCAGGAAACAUCAGCCAGCCUUCCCAGGAGGAGAGCAACCCCUCUGUCCCCGCGGGCGGGGAAGAGGCUUGUGGCCAGGGGAAGGAGAGGAGCUGCGUCGCAUGCUGGAGGAGGAGGAAGACACCAGCUCCCUUAGCUGACCCUGAGGCACCUUCUGGGCCGAAAUGGAGGUGGCCCCGGGUUCAGCUAUGGAGGAGAGAGCCAGGAGAGGGCAGGAGCCAGGGAAGGCAGCUCUGGGGCUUCCUUGGCAGGACGCCAAGAUGCCAGAAGCUGCACCCCAGGGCCCAGCAGGAGCCGUCCACCACCAUGGCAACUGAGGAGCCUCCCGCCAGCCCGACCCUGGUCCCCGAGGAGCCUCCCGCCAGCCCCACCCUGGCCCCUGAGGAGCCUCCCG
Molecule: long non-coding RNA, 2190 nt
Organism: Mauremys mutica (yellowpond turtle)
Lineage: Eukaryota; Metazoa; Chordata; Testudines; Geoemydidae
Exons: 3
Source: RefSeq, a predicted model, not a curated record